Girardinichthys multiradiatus is the source of this 669-nucleotide long non-coding RNA. RefSeq lists it as uncharacterized. The transcript has 2 exons. The record is from RefSeq and is a predicted model, not a curated record. NCBI's taxonomy places the organism in Eukaryota, Metazoa, Chordata, Actinopteri, Cyprinodontiformes, Goodeidae.
UCCUUCUGUAAAUACUCCGUUUAUGCCUUGUUACACACCCUGUGUUUUUGCUCUGGUCUGGUCCUGAGUUCCUUCAUGACUGUUGCCUGGAUGUUCAUGUGGCUUAUGUUUUUCACCAGCCUGAGUUCCUGUGCCUGGUCAGCUAAUCCAGGCACAUGGACCCAGCAGCAGUGACCGGGUUUAAAGGAAGCUGAGACUGCCUCCAAAGGAUCUCCACAAACAGCUCUAGACAGGGACACUUAAAUCCUCCCAUUACCUCUGCUUUUGGAGAAGAUGGACUAAGGGUCGCCUUUCUGGGGAUCUAGACUGACUAUUUAUCCGAAUAACUGAUACAACUCAGUCUCCAUGAUUUCAUCAAAAAGAUAUUUAAACCUACCUGGCCCAACACAUCAUGCACCAAGAACAGAUCAGAAACAAAGUGAGCAAUACCUGCCACUGCAGGCCUCACUUGCUUCAGUUAAGGUCUGUGGUAACGAUUCAAACAUCAGGAGACCAGGUAAAAACUCAGAUUUUCCAAAGAAUAUUUUAAUGAUCCUCAAGACAUUUGGGAAAAUACAUAGUAAAUCUAUGAGACAAAGUGAAACAUUUGGAAGUUGUGUGUCCCAUUAAAUCCGGAGUAAAACUUAUAAAAUAAAAAAAACAGUAUAUAAUAUAUAUACUGAAACAUUA